This 906-nucleotide unclassified non-coding RNA is filed under the name Hevea brasiliensis (rubber tree). The record is from RNAcentral. Lineage: Eukaryota; Viridiplantae; Streptophyta; Magnoliopsida; Malpighiales; Euphorbiaceae.
AAAAAGGUUACCUUAAUAAAAAGAAACAAAUUGUCUGAUAAGAACCUCCUUUCAAAUAAAGUAGCCUAUCUUUCUUCCAUUACAAUAAACAGCCCACACAAACUCUUCCAGCACUUUCUUCUUAUGAGUCUUGGUCUCGCUCUCUAGCGCGAUUCUUACUAUAUCAGAUGCCAUUUCUUUGUGAAACGCACUCGUAUGGAUGGGUAGUUCUAUAACAAACAUAGGCACGCAAUGAGGAUCCUCUUGUAUGGCUAGACUUACUCUCCCUUUGCGAUAACCGAAAAUGGUACCUGUAGUAGCAUUAUCUUUAAGUAAGGGUUUUCGAGGCCUACCUAGAAGUGCAACCAUCUUGCAACCUGAGGUUAACAUGGGGAAGAGUUUGAACAUUUUAAGAAGCCCGCCGGAACUAGAUUUCGAGCGCUUCUCGCCGGCGGUUAGCCGGAGCAAAGACAAUAUAGCUGGAUUAUUCAUUUGGAAGUAAGGGCUAGAGUGCACAGGUGGCAUUGUUAGGAAUUCUGGUAAGGGUCUGAAAUUCAAGAAAUAACAAAGAAAAAUUAUCAAGGAAGAAAGGUGUAAUCGAGCUAGUGACAAACUAUAAGAUACACAUAAAGGGAGGGAUUAAAAAGAGGAGUUAGAGAAGGUGGUUAGAGUUGGAAACUCAUUGAAGUAGGAAAGAAGGAGAGACCCCUCCAAGUUGGCUGAGAGAAAAGGAAGAAUCAUGAGUAGUAAUGGUUUGAUGUGACCUAGUUUAGUGAUGAAAAGAGAGAUGGGGGUUGAAUGUGAUAAGAUAAGAGAGGUCGGACCACAUAAUGUGGAAAAAUAACUCAAAAAGAUGAGAAGAAAGGACUGCUAAAUGUUGGCACGGGCAUGUGACUCUCUGAUCAUUACUAAGGGCAUCAACAUCAC